Gymnothorax javanicus (giant moray) is the source of this 74-nucleotide non-coding RNA. Lineage: Eukaryota; Metazoa; Chordata; Actinopteri; Anguilliformes; Muraenidae. The record is from the annotation of a GenBank genome assembly.
GACGCGGUAGCACAGUGGUCAAGUAGGCUUGACUUGGGAUCGUAAGGUCCUGAGUUCAAGCCCCGGCCACGGCC